RNAcentral lists this ribosomal RNA (407 nucleotides) under uncultured bacterium. RNAcentral describes it as "partial 16S ribosomal RNA". It matches the Rfam family "Bacterial small subunit ribosomal RNA", at positions 29 to 526 of the family's 1533-position model. The record is from RNAcentral.
AUUGAACGCUGGCGGCAGGCCUAACACAUGCAAGUCGAGCGGAGCGGCGGACGGGUGAGUAAUGCCUAGGAAUCUGCCUGGUAGUGGGGGAUAACGUACGGAAACGGGCGAUAAUACCGCAUACUAUCAGGUGAGCCUAGGUCGGAUUAGCUAGUUGGUGGGGUAAAGGCCUACCAAGGCGACGAUCCGUAACGUGUCGGAGAGGAUGAUCAGGCACACUGGAACUGAGACACGGUCCAGACACCUACGGGAGGCAGAAGUGGGGACUAGUGGAAAAAGGGCGAAGGCCUGUUCCAGCCAGGCCGCGUGUGUGAAGAAGGCCUUCGGAUUGUAAAGCACUUUAAGUUGGGAGGCGUUACCAACAGAAUAAGCACCGGCUAACUCCGUGCCAGCAGCCGCGGUAAUUC